This 253-nucleotide ribosomal RNA is filed under the name uncultured bacterium. Its description in RNAcentral is "partial 16S ribosomal RNA". It matches the Rfam family "Bacterial small subunit ribosomal RNA", at positions 524 to 776 of the family's 1533-position model. The record is from RNAcentral.
UACGUAGGGUGCAAGCGUUGUCCGGAAUUAUUGGGCGUAAAGAGCUCGUAGGCGGUUUGUCGCGUCUGCUGUGAAAUCCCGAGGCUCAACCUCGGGCCUGCAGUGGGUACGGGCAGACUGGAGUGCGGUAGGGGAGAAUGGAAUUCCUGGUGUAGCGGUGGAAUGCGCAGAUAUCAGGAGGAACACCGAUGGCGAAGGCAGUUCUCUGGGCCGUAACUGACGCUGAGGAGCGAAAGCGUGGGGAGCGAACAGG